CGUAGGGUGCUAGCGUUGUUCGGAAUCAUUGGGCGUAAAGCGCGUGUAGGCGGCUAGUUAAGUCAGAUGUGAAAUCCCUGGGCUCAACCGAGGAAGUGCAUUUGAAACUAAUUAGCUAGAGAGUGGUAGAGGAAGGUGGAAUUCCGUGUGUAGAGGUGAAAUUCGUAGAUAUACGGAGGAAUACCGGUGGCGAAGGCGGCCUUCUGGACCAUUUCUGACGCUGAGACGCGAAAGCGUGGGGAGCAAACAGGAUUAGAUACCCUGGUAGUCCACGCCGUAAACGAUGGGUACUAGAUGUUGCGGGAAUUGACCCCUGCAGUGUCGACGCUAACGCAUUAAGUACCCCGCCUGGGAAGUACGGCCGCAAGGUUA
RNAcentral lists this ribosomal RNA (372 nucleotides) under uncultured organism. RNAcentral's name for it is "bacterial SSU rRNA". It matches the Rfam family "Bacterial small subunit ribosomal RNA", at positions 526 to 896 of the family's 1533-position model. The record is from RNAcentral.